UUUUAUGAGAGUUUGAUCCUGGCUCAGGACGAACGCUGGCGGCGUGCCUAAUACAUGCAAGUCGAACGCUUCUUUUUCCACCGGAGCUUGCUCCACCGGAAAAAGAGGAGUGGCGAACGGGUGAGUAACACGUGGGUAACCUGCCCAUCAGAAGGGGAUAACACUUGGAAACAGGUGCUAAUACCGUAUAACAAUCGAAACCGCAUGGUUUUGAUUUGAAAGGCGCUUUCGGGUGUCGCUGAUGGAUGGACCCGCGGUGCAUUAGCUAGUUGGUGAGGUAACGGCUCACCAAGGCCACGAUGCAUAGCCGACCUGAGAGGGUGAUCGGCCACAUUGGGACUGAGACACGGCCCAAACUCCUACGGGAGGCAGCAGUAGGGAAUCUUCGGCAAUGGACGAAAGUCUGACCGAGCAACGCCGCGUGAGUGAAGAAGGUUUUCGGAUCGUAAAACUCUGUUGUUAGAGAAGAACAAGGAUGAGAGUAACUGUUCAUCCCUUGACGGUAUCUAACCAGAAAGCCACGGCUAACUACGUGCCAGCAGCCGCGGUAAUACGUAGGUGGCAAGCGUUGGCCGGAAUUAUUGGGCGUAAAGCGAGCGCAGGCGGUUUCUUAAGUCUGAUGUGAAAGCCCCCGGCUCAACCG
Molecule: ribosomal RNA, 643 nt
Filed under: Enterococcus faecium
Lineage: Bacteria; Bacillati; Bacillota; Bacilli; Lactobacillales; Enterococcaceae
Description: bacterial SSU rRNA
Rfam family: Bacterial small subunit ribosomal RNA
Source: RNAcentral